CAGGUGAUGGUGUAGCCAGCAGCAUUCGGGCCUGUGAAGCCCGCGGGGUGGGUGCAAAUCCCACACACCUGACCA
Molecule: transfer RNA, 75 nt
Filed under: Verrucomicrobia bacterium LW23
Lineage: Bacteria; Pseudomonadati; Verrucomicrobiota
Description: tRNA-His
Rfam family: tRNA
About the family: Transfer RNA (tRNA) molecules are approximately 80 nucleotides in length. Their secondary structure includes four short double-helical elements and three loops (D, anti-codon, and T loops).
Source: RNAcentral